AGAUUUUGCAUCUUUUGGAGUUUGAAAGCAUUCAGAUUCAACUCAAGUACUUUCUUUUCUUUUUUGUCUAUGAUUACAAUGAUGGACAGAGAGAAGAAGAGAGAGAGCUCCAGAAAAUAUGUGAAUGGAAUUUUAGAAUGCCCCAGUUGGGAUUAUGGGGCCUGUAUGGUGAAUAAACAUUUCAUAUUGGUAAAGAUUCUAAUUACAUUUAGAUCCCUGUAAAUUAUGUUUUUUUGAGAGUAUUGAGACCCUGUAAGUGACUACAUGAGAAAAAAAUGAAUGAAUGUAUAUGUUACCCAUUGCAAAUAAGUUGGAUUUAUUCCAGGAAAUAACAUAAUCAUAUUACAACAAAUAAAAUCACAUGACUUAUCAAGA
Antechinus flavipes (yellow-footed antechinus) is the source of this 375-nucleotide long non-coding RNA. RefSeq lists it as uncharacterized. The transcript is spliced from 2 exons. The record is from RefSeq and is a predicted model, not a curated record. NCBI's taxonomy places the organism in Eukaryota, Metazoa, Chordata, Mammalia, Dasyuromorphia, Dasyuridae.